GCCGCGCACAAAGGAGGCGGACGCGGCAGCCAUGCUGGGCCCGGGAGCCGCGGCUUCCCGCGGUCGCUCCUAAGAGGCCAGCGAGCCGUCGCCCCAGAGAGCUGUCGGCAGGUGGCUUGCGGUCACACGGCCGGAAUUCGAAACGCACGACCUGAGAGCCGGCGCUUGUCCAGAGCUAACCACGGUAAUAAAAGCCGUCGGUAGACCGGCCGCGGAUGAGAACGCCCUGAGCUCCCUGCGCCAGGCACCCUGCCGGCAGCUUCGCGGUCACGACCUCAUUUGAUCUUAACAGCGACCCUGAGAGAAUAGUAUUUUUAUUCAUUAACUUGUUGACUAAUUUCUAUUGAUUUGUUGAUUUGUAGUAAAUGUAUUUAUCAGAGGUGGAAAAUGGGGCACAGAGAUGUAAAGUCAUUUGAAAAGGUCACACGGCCAGAGAGCAGCAGAGCCGGGGUAGCUACAUGGAGCAAAAGGCUGGUGGGAGGCAGGUCGUUCUGCCCUCCCCUAUGUGUGCAAUAAUAGUAUUUCCAGGUACUUGAUCUAUCGCUCCCUGUCCUUAUAUCCCUGAUGACCAAACAACAAAGCAUUUGUGUGUCCGAAAGUUAAGGUGGUCCAUGUCUGGCCACACACACUUUCGUUCCAGAAGGAGACACCCUGCCCUGGCACCUUGAAAAUAUUCCUUCACCCCCUGAGCUGAGCAGCCUGCAGAGACAACAGGGGUGAGGUCAGGAAUCCUAGGCUCGGCCAACUGCCAUACAAUGACAAGAUGACGUUGGGCCUACGUGCUUAACAGGAGAGGACAGAAAGACACCCUCAUCACCCCCACUGUCAGAGGCAAAUCCCGCCCAAGACCUGAAUCUGAGUCCCACCACUGGAGCAAGGAGCCUGUGGUUUCACCAUCAGGGAGCAGCGAAAACCCAGGUGCUCAGGUCUCGGAGCUAGGGAGAGGGGAGGCCAAUAGCCCACCCACUCAAGAAUCACUUCUUUCCACUUGUCUGAGCAGAGUUGGGAAGGAGGGCCUCCGGAAACCAGCUGGAAGGGAGUUGGCUGGGGCUCCACUGUCACUGAUUUAUGAAGGCCUUUCAGGGCCAGAAUGACACCAUCCACCCUCAACCUACCUCCUGCUAAUUUAUAUUCUCAGAGCUUUAAAUCAUGGUGACAGCCCUGCAGGCACUUUGACCAGUCAAGGGCUUCCGGGGCCCCGCAGGCUGGCACGCUGUUCUCCUGGGCCCUGCACUUGACACCCCAACCUGCUCCAAACCACACUCCCAGUUCCUGCUCCCCUCUGGCUGUCUGCUCAAUCAGAUAAUCAGCAGAGCAGUGACUUUCUUUUCACUGACUGAGAAGCUCCUUCAACUGAAAAAAAAAAAAAAAAAAAAACUACCAAAGUUA
This is a long non-coding RNA of Canis lupus familiaris (dog), 1389 nucleotides long. RefSeq lists it as uncharacterized. The record is from RefSeq and is a predicted model, not a curated record. NCBI's taxonomy places the organism in Eukaryota, Metazoa, Chordata, Mammalia, Carnivora, Canidae. The transcript has 3 exons.